CACGUAGGGCGCAAGCGUUGUCCGGAAUCACUGGGCGUAAAGCGCACGUAGGCGGCUUUCUAAGUCAGGGGUGAAAUCCUGGAGCUCAACUCCAGAACUGCCUUUGAUACUGGAGAGCUUGAGUCCGGGAGAGGUGAGUGGAACUCCGAGUGUAGAGGUGAAAUUCGUAGAUAUUCGGAAGAACACCAGUGGCGAAGGCGGCUCACUGGCCCGGUACUGACGCUGAGGUGCGAAAGCGUGGGGAGCAAACAGG
This 253-nucleotide ribosomal RNA is filed under the name uncultured bacterium. RNAcentral describes it as "partial 16S ribosomal RNA". It matches the Rfam family "Bacterial small subunit ribosomal RNA", at positions 524 to 776 of the family's 1533-position model. The record is from RNAcentral.